This 506-nucleotide ribosomal RNA is filed under the name uncultured Glomeromycotina. RNAcentral describes it as "partial small subunit ribosomal RNA". It matches the Rfam family "Eukaryotic small subunit ribosomal RNA", at positions 591 to 1092 of the family's 1831-position model. Lineage: Eukaryota; Fungi; Glomeromycota. The record is from RNAcentral.
CCAAUAGCGUAUAUUAAAGUUGUUGCAGUUAAAAAGCUCGUAGUUGAAUUUCGGGAUUGACGUGACGGUCGUACCUUACGGGGUAUGAACUGUCGCCGUUGAUUUCUCACCUUCUGGAGAAGCUCGAUGUCCUUAAUUGGGUGUCUUGCGGAACCAGGACCUUUACCUUGAAAAAAUUAGAGUGUUUAAAGCGGGCAUUUUGCUCGAAUACAUUAGCAUGGAAUAAUAGAAUAGGACGGCAUGGUUCUAUUUUGUUGGUUUCUAGGAUCACCGUAAUGAUUAAUAGGGAUAGUUGGGGGCAUUAGUAUUCAAUUGUCAGAGGUGAAAUUCUUGGAUUUAUUGAAGACUAACUACUGCGAAAGCAUUUGCCAAGGAUGUUUUCAUUAAUCAAGAACGAAAGUUAGGGGAUCGAAGACGAUCAGAUACCGUCGUAGUCUUAACCAUAAACUAUGCCGACUAGGAAUCAGACGAUGUUAAUUUUUUAAUGACUCGUUUGGCACCUUACG